This is a long non-coding RNA of Leptidea sinapis, 610 nucleotides long. RefSeq lists it as uncharacterized. Lineage: Eukaryota; Metazoa; Arthropoda; Insecta; Lepidoptera; Pieridae. The transcript has 2 exons. The record is from RefSeq and is a predicted model, not a curated record.
AGGCAGGUGCGUUGACCGAUUCAAGGUGAGAUGUUUUUAUCAAUAGGCGUUAAUUAUUUAAUCACUUGAGUUAAUUGGUUGUGCUAACGUGAGUGGCUGGAUCUGCGGUUUAAAGGCUGUACCUACAUUGUGUGAAAUUUCUACAGCUUUUUUUUGGAGGACAAUCCACCGCGACCCACACUCUGUUGGCGGCUUUAUCCACACGAUUGUCGUUGCGUGUUUUAUAGUUUGGUUGUACGUGGAAUUAAGUUCCUGGAAAGUUGCACAGUUAAGGAAUGCCACACAUGAGACACAGAUGGUUGUGUCCGGCCUACUUAUCAAGUCCUCGUUGCUACUAUGCCACCACCCAGCCAUUGUACCAUAGAAAUAUCGAGCCAUCGAGUCACCGCAAUACCGGAGAAAGUAAACAAGGUGCUGUACACGGGCGUACGCACGGAGCGAGGAGCGAGUAUGGCAACGAGCGAUGCGUGCGCGGCAUGAAUAGAAAUCACUUCAAUUUGUAUGCCCCCCCUGCCAGCGGAUAAUCAACUGUUUAUUUGCCCCUCAUUUAUACCAAUAAAUGAAAACAUUUUAUAGUAUUUUGCCAAUUAUACAACUUGUCUAAAACUGA